RNAcentral lists this ribosomal RNA (305 nucleotides) under uncultured bacterium. RNAcentral describes it as "bacterial SSU rRNA". It matches the Rfam family "Bacterial small subunit ribosomal RNA", at positions 332 to 655 of the family's 1533-position model. The record is from RNAcentral.
CCGCCCUACGGGAGGCAGCAGUGGGGAAUAUUGCACAAUGGGGGAAACCCUGAUGCAGCGACGCCGCGUGAGUGAAGAAGUAUUUCGGUAUGUAAAGCUCUAUCAGCAGGGAAGAAGAAGGACGGUACCUGAGUAAGAAGCCCCGGCUAACUACGUGCCAGCAGCCGCGGUAAUACGUAGGGGGCAAGCGUUAUCCGGAUUUACUGGGUGUAAAGGGGGCGCAGACGGCGAUGCAAGCCAGGAGUGAAAGCCCGGGGCCCAACCCCGGGACUGCUCUUGGAACUGCGUGGCUAGAGUGCAGGAGG